GAUGAACGCUGGCGGCGUGCCUAAUACAUGCCAGUCGAGCGAACAGAUGAGGAGCUUGCUCCUCUGACGUUAGCGGCGGACGGGUGAGUAACACGUGGAUAACCUACCUAUAAGACUGGGAUAACUUCGGGAAACCGGAGCUAAUACCGGAUAAUAUAUUGAACCGCAUGGUUCAAUAGUGAAAGACGGUUUUGCUGUCACUUAUAGAUGGAUCCGCGCCGCACUAGCUAGUUGGUAAGGUAACGGCUUACCAAGGCAACGAUGCGUAGCCGACCUGAGAGGGUGAUCGGCCACACUGGAACUGAGACACGGUCCAGACUCCUACGGGAGGCAGCAGUAGGGAAUCUUCCGCAAUGGGCGAAAGCCUGACGGAGCAACGCCGCGUGAGUGAUGAAGGUCUUCGGAUCGUAAAACUCUGUUAUUAGGGAAGAACAAAUGUGUAAGUAACUAUGCACGUCUUGACGGUACCUAAUCAGAAAGCCACGGCUAACUACGUG
RNAcentral lists this ribosomal RNA (497 nucleotides) under uncultured bacterium. RNAcentral's name for it is "partial 16S ribosomal RNA". It matches the Rfam family "Bacterial small subunit ribosomal RNA", at positions 28 to 507 of the family's 1533-position model. The record is from RNAcentral.